This 326-nucleotide long non-coding RNA is filed under the name Cervus hanglu yarkandensis (Yarkand deer). Its description in RNAcentral is "lncRNA (ENSCHYG00000002566.1)". The record is from RNAcentral. Lineage: Eukaryota; Metazoa; Chordata; Mammalia; Artiodactyla; Cervidae.
CGAGGAGCCAGGAGGCCCCCGUGGUCUGAGCUGCUGCCGCUGCCCAAGCUACGCUUGGAUUCAGGAGGUUGCCUCCUAGCCGAUAGCCGAAGAGAGCGCCGUCCCCGGUCCCGCGGCACUGGUGCUGCUCGGUCCAGCAGGAGGUGAGAAGGGGAAGUGAGAAAAGAAAAGAGAAAUCAAGUUCCCUUCCCUCUGUGUGCCAUCCUCCUGCCAAGUUUUGCCUGCUGUUAAAGACAUCUCGAUCCUACAGAUAAGUAGACUGCAACCAAAAGAAGAACCAUGGAUUAGGAAGAUGGAGUCCAGGCUGAGAAGCCUCUCUGGAUGUA